This is a long non-coding RNA of Beta vulgaris subsp. vulgaris (sugar beet), 533 nucleotides long. RefSeq lists it as uncharacterized. The record is from RefSeq and is a predicted model, not a curated record. The transcript is spliced from 3 exons. Lineage: Eukaryota; Viridiplantae; Streptophyta; Magnoliopsida; Caryophyllales; Amaranthaceae.
CUUCUUUCUCCCUCAUCUUACUCGCCAGUUCUGGCGGUAAGAACCAGAAGCUCUUCUCAGCUUCGUUUCUUGGAUUUUUGUCUCUUAAUCUAUGCAUGCAAAGUCUGAUUAUCAUUCACUACAUAUAGGAGCAUAUUGGGAAGCAAAAAUAUCACCAUUUCGUGGCCAAGAAGUUCAAGAAAAAGAACCAUCUUCUUCAACCAGAAAAACAGUAGGUGUUUAAGGAUUCCAAAGAAGUAAAAAUCUCAUCAAAAAGAACAAGGAGAAGUCGAGUUACACCAUUUACAAGUUAAGACUCUUGUGCAGGGAAUAGCAAGCUAAGGUAGUCUGAUGGAAGAGCUAUAAUGAAGUCAUGUCUCGACUAUGAUAGUGGAUGCAAGCUUGAACAUGAUCAUAUUUUGCGACUUACUUCUGUUAUAUGAAUAUUGUUUAAAUUUAUGUUAAAAUCUUAUUUUGGGCCUGUAAUAAUUAACCUAAUUUCAUGUGUGAUGAAUGUUUUAUUUUAAGAUUAGCUCGUAGAGUCAAUUCAGCCA